GGGUAGUGGAUGAACCUGACAGAGAGGCUCUGACCCAAGCGUGGAAGUCAUGGAUGGAAGAAUACAUAAAAGUCAGUGGGAAAGUUCCACCUGGUAACGAAUCUGGAAAUGCCACUUGGACAAGACAACAACCUAAGAAGAAGCCUGAUCUUCGAUUAACACCUGGUCGUCACGUGCAACUAACGGUACCUCUUGAGGAGCUCGUCGACAAGUUGGUAAAAGAGAAUAAGGUAGUUGCAUUCAUCAAGGGAUCUAGAAGUGCACCGUUAUGUGGAUUCUCGCAAAAAGUGAUAGGCAUUCUUGAAAACGAA
RNAcentral lists this long non-coding RNA (311 nucleotides) under Trifolium pratense (red clover). RNAcentral's name for it is "long non-coding RNA (TPRA_LNC012948)". Lineage: Eukaryota; Viridiplantae; Streptophyta; Magnoliopsida; Fabales; Fabaceae. The record is from RNAcentral.